UACGUAGGGGGCAAGCGUUGUUCGGAAUUACUGGGCGUAAAGGGCGCGUAGGCGGCACAGCAAGUCGGGAGUGAAAGCCCGGGGCUCAACCCCGGAAUGGCUUUCGAAACUGCUGAGCUAGAGUACAGAAGGGGCAACCGGAAUUCCCAGUGUAGCGGUGAAAUGCGUAGAUAUUGGGAAGAACACCUGAGGCGAAGGCGGGUUGCCGGGCUGAUACUGACGCUGAGGCGCGAAAGCCAGGGGAGCAAACGGG
Molecule: ribosomal RNA, 253 nt
Filed under: uncultured bacterium
Lineage: Bacteria
Description: partial 16S ribosomal RNA
Rfam family: Bacterial small subunit ribosomal RNA
Source: RNAcentral